UUCCCCCCCCCCGCGGCGGGGCCUAAUACUGCAAGUCGAACGCUUCUUUUUCCACCGGAGCUUGCUCCACCGGAAAAAGAGGAGUGGCGAACGGGUGAGUAACACGUGGGUAACCUGCCCAUCAGAAGGGGAUAACACUUGGAAACAGGUGCUAAUACCGUAUAACAAUCGAAACCGCAUGGUUUUGAUUUGAAAGGCGCUUUCGGGAGUCGCUGAUGGAUGGACCCGCGGUGCAUUAGCUAGUUGGUGAGGUAACGGCUCACCAAGGCGACGAUGCAUAGCCGACCUGAGAGGGUGAUCGGCCACAUUGGGACUGAGACACGGCCCAAACUCCUACGGGAGGCAGCAGUAGGGAAUCUUCGGCAAUGGACGAAAGUCUGACCGAGCAACGCCGCGUGAGUGAAGAAGGUUUUCGGAUCGUAAAACUCUGUUGUUAGAGAAGAACAAGGAUGAGAGUAACUGUUCAUCCCUUGACGGUAUCUAACCAGAAAGCCACGGCUAACUACGUGCCAGCAGCCGCGGUAAUACGUAGGUGGCAAGCGUUGUCCGGAUUUAUUGGGCGUAAAGCGAGCGCAGGCGGUUUCUUAAGUCUGAUGUGAAAGCCCCCGGCUCAACCGGGGAGGGUCAUUGGAAACUGGGAGACUUGAGUGCAGAAGAGGAGAGUGGAAUUCCAUGUGUAGCGGUGAAAUGCGUAGAUAUAUGGAGGAACACCAGUGGCGAAGGCGGCUCUCUGGUCUGUAACUGACGCUGAGGCUCGAAAGCGUGGGGAGCAAACAGGAUUAGAUACCCUGGUAGUCCACGCCGUAAACGAUGAGUGCUAAGUGUUGGAGGGUUUCCGCCCUUCAGUGCUGCAGCUAACGCAUUAAGCACUCCGCCUGGGGAGUACGACCGCAAGGUUGAAACUCAAAGGAAUUGACGGGGGCCCGCACAAGCGGUGGAGCAUGUGGUUUAAUUCGAAGCAACGCGAAAAACCUUACCAGGUCUUGACAUCCUUUGACCACUCUAGAGAUAGAGCUUCCCCUUCGGGGGCAAAGUGACAGGUGGUGCAUGGUUGUCCUCAGCUCGGGGUCCUGAGAUGUUGGGUUAAGUCCCGCAACGAACCGCAACCCUUUAUUGUUAGUUGCCCUUCUUUUAGUUGGGCCCUUCUAGCAAGAAUGGCCGGUGAAAAAACCGGAAGGAAGGGGGGGGAAAAAACUUCAAAUCCCCAGGCCCCCUUAAGAACCGGGGGCUAACCACCGGGCCUACAAUGGGGAAAGUAAAACCGAAUUCCCAAAAUUCCCGGAGGCUAAACCUAAUUCCUUUAAAAGCUUUCCCCCAACUUCCCAAAUUUAAGCCC
Molecule: ribosomal RNA, 1336 nt
Filed under: Enterococcus durans
Lineage: Bacteria; Bacillati; Bacillota; Bacilli; Lactobacillales; Enterococcaceae
Description: bacterial SSU rRNA
Rfam family: Bacterial small subunit ribosomal RNA
Source: RNAcentral